GACGAACGCUGGCGGCGUGCUUAACACAUGCAAGUCGAACGGAAAGGCCCUGCUUUUGUGGGGUGCUCGAGUGGCGAACGGGUGAGUAACACGUGAGUAACCUGCCCUUGACUUUGGGAUAACUUCAGGAAACUGGGGCUAAUACCGGAUAGGAGCUCCUGCUGCAUGGUGGGGGUUGGAAAGUUUCGGCGGUUGGGGAUGGACUCGCGGCUUAUCAGCUUGUUGGUGGGGUAGUGGCUUACCAAGGCUUUGACGGGUAGCCGGCCUGAGAGGGUGACCGGCCACAUUGGGACUGAGAUACGGCCCAGACUCCUACGGGAGGCAGCAGUGGGGAAUAUUGCACAAUGGGCGGAAGCCUGAUGCAGCAACGCCGCGUGCGGGAUUACGGCCUUCGGGUUGUAAACCGCUUUCGCCUGUGACGAAGCGUGAGUGACGGUAAUGGGGAAAGAAGCACCGGCGAACUACGU
This 467-nucleotide ribosomal RNA is filed under the name uncultured bacterium. Its description in RNAcentral is "partial 16S ribosomal RNA". It matches the Rfam family "Bacterial small subunit ribosomal RNA", at positions 28 to 506 of the family's 1533-position model. The record is from RNAcentral.